UACAGAGGGUGCAAGCGUUAAUCGGAAUUACUGGGCGUAAAGCGCACGUAGGUGGUUUGACAAGUUGGGUGUGAAAUCCCCGGGCUUAACCUGGGAACUGCAUUCAAAACUAUCAAGCUAGAGUAGAGUAGAGGGAAGUGGAAUUUCCGGUGUAGCGGUGAAAUGCGUAGAUAUCGGAAGGAACACCAGUGGCGAAGGCGGCUUCCUGGACUCAUACUGACACUGAGGUGCGAAAGCGUGGGGAG
Molecule: ribosomal RNA, 245 nt
Filed under: uncultured bacterium
Lineage: Bacteria
Description: partial 16S ribosomal RNA
Rfam family: Bacterial small subunit ribosomal RNA
Source: RNAcentral